Long non-coding RNA from Rhagoletis zephyria (snowberry fruit fly), 574 nucleotides. RefSeq lists it as uncharacterized. The record is from RefSeq and is a predicted model, not a curated record. Lineage: Eukaryota; Metazoa; Arthropoda; Insecta; Diptera; Tephritidae.
GCGCCGGAUAAAAUGUGCACCGCCGAGAUCGCGAGCGAGAUAAUGGCGGUGGCUUAGCGUCCACCACGCACCACAUCGUUCAGUAUCGGCUCAUCGAAGCAGACAUCGACCGCAGGGAUACCACACUUGAAUGUCAGGGCAUUGCUAUCAGGUCAGGCGAUGUCAAGCUCGAAAUAUUAACGUUUACAUACACCCUGUCAGUAGCUACCCGGCAUGAUAUCACCCUGGAAUAGGUGCCCUCCUCAGAGGUGAAAACCGUAUGGCAGUUGGUGACUUUAAUGCGCUCCAUGAUCUUUGGCAUUCAUGCCUGUCAAACUAUCGUAGGGGAAAAGACUUGGCUGAGCAGAUAGACGAUUCGAAUUUCUGCACAAUGAACGAAGACGCACCCACCAGGAUUAUGGCCAGCUGCUGCAGUUCGCCAGACAUAACAAUAGGCAGCGCUGGUCUGAUAAACAGCGCAUCAUGGCGACCUGUGCUGACCUUGGCAUCAGAUCAUCUGCCCAUAGUCAUCUCGAUCGAUAAACCAGCCGACCUUGGUCCCGCGGAACACCGGACCUGUACCAACUUUACAAAA